Molecule: ribosomal RNA, 292 nt
Filed under: uncultured bacterium
Lineage: Bacteria
Description: partial 16S ribosomal RNA
Rfam family: Bacterial small subunit ribosomal RNA
Source: RNAcentral
GUGCCAGCAGCCGCGGUAAGACGAACCGUGCGAACGUUGUUCGGAAUCACUGGGCUUAAAGGGCGCGUAGGCGGACUGCCAAGUCCGGGGUGAAAUCCUCCAGCUCAACUGGAGAACGGCCCCGGAUACUGGCGGUCUCGAGGAGGGUAGGGGCAAGCGGAACUAUGGGUGGAGCGGUGAAAUGCGUUGAUAUCCAUAGGAACUCCGGUGGCGAAGGCGGCUUGCUGGACCCUUUCUGACGCUGAGGCGCGAAAGCCAGGGGAGCAAACGGGAUUAGAAACCCGUGUAGUCC